UACGGAGGGGGCUAGCGCUGUUCGGAAUUACUGGGCGUAAAGCGCACGUAGGCGGAUCAGAAAGUUGGGGGUGAAAUCCCAGGGCUCAACCCUGGAACUGCCUUCAAAACUCCUGGUCUAGAGUUCGAGAGAGGUGAGUGGAAUUCCGAGUGUAGAGGUGAAAUUCGUAGAUAUUCGGAGGAACACCAGUGGCGAAGGCGGCUCACUGGCUCGAUACUGACGCUGAGGUGCGAAAGCGAGGGGAUCAAACAGG
Molecule: ribosomal RNA, 253 nt
Filed under: uncultured bacterium
Lineage: Bacteria
Description: partial 16S ribosomal RNA
Rfam family: Bacterial small subunit ribosomal RNA
Source: RNAcentral